RNAcentral lists this ribosomal RNA (484 nucleotides) under uncultured bacterium. RNAcentral's name for it is "partial 16S ribosomal RNA". It matches the Rfam family "Bacterial small subunit ribosomal RNA", at positions 30 to 507 of the family's 1533-position model. The record is from RNAcentral.
AUUGAACGCUGGCGGCAGGCCUAACACAUGCAAGUCGAGCGGAUGAAGGGAGCUUGCUCCUGGAUUCAGCGGCGGACGGGUGUGUAAUGCCUAGGAAUCUGCCUGGUAGUGGGGGAUAACGUCCGGAAACGGGCGCUAAUACCGCAUACGUCCUGAGGGAGAAAGUGGGGGAUCUUCGGACCUCACGCUCUCAGAUGAGCCUAGGUCGGAUUAGCUAGUUGGUGGGGUAAAGGCCUACCAAGGCGACGAUCCGUAACUGGUCUGAGAGGAUGAUCAGGCACACUGGAACUGGGACACGGUCCAGACUCCUACGGGAGGCAGCAGUGGGGAAUAUUGGACAAUGGGCGAAAGCCUGAUCCAGCCAUGCCGCGUGUGUGAAGAAGGUCUUCGGAUUGUAAAGCACUUUAAGUUGGGAGGAAGGGCAGUAAGUUAAUACCUUGCUGUUUUGACGUUACCAACAGAAUAAGCACCGGCUAACUUCGUG